Molecule: long non-coding RNA, 867 nt
Organism: Gadus morhua (Atlantic cod)
Lineage: Eukaryota; Metazoa; Chordata; Actinopteri; Gadiformes; Gadidae
Exons: 2
Source: RefSeq, a predicted model, not a curated record
GGGAGAACGUAUUUCCGUCUGAGUCCAUGAUACUGAGCGCUUUUCUGCCUAGAGGUAAGUUGCCGCUCUCAGUUCGUGUACAUUAUAAACUAAUGUAUGGAUAGACCAACAAAUUGAUCAUUAAAAUAUUCAUGGAAGUAACAUGCAUAGGCCUCAUGUUUAUGUCAUGAGGUCUUUUGAAAAAUAGCAUUUAGGCAGUGUUUUUCAGCUUUUUUUAACGCCAUGCCCUCGGGCCAAAUAUGAGGACACAUAAUCGGGUCCACAUAUGAGGACAAUUAAAUAAACUCCAAUAUUUUGCUUAUCAUGGUAAUAUUCUCCAAACCACAUUGGUAAGAUAUGUUUCGUGAAACAUUGAAACCUGAUUAAAAUUGUGCUUUUCCCCUCCAGAUUUGCCUGCACAUUGCACCACGACAUUGCACCACAUAACACACACAUUUCGAAACCAACGCAGAACUCCUCUCUGUCUGUCUGUCUUUGUCUGACUGACUGACUGAUGGUCUGUCUGUCGGACUGACUGAUGGUCUGUCUGUCUGUCUGUCUGUCUGACGGACCGUCUGUGUCCUUAUUUUUUCUUGUCAGGUAGGUUCACUGCAAUGCUUAAAAAAAAUCAAAUUUCAUAUCCGGGUCUAUAAAAACAGUUACUAAUGCGCUAUAUUUGUGUGUGUUUCUACCCUAGAGUAUGUCUGAGAGAAAUAAAGAAGGUGUACCACUGCUGAAAUUGACGGACCUGGAAACCGGGAACAGGGUUGCUUGCUAUGGGCCAGAAAAAUACCUUGAUACUUGCCUUUGUCAAACAUUUAUGGAAGCUUCUUUUUUUUUCUUCUUUACAGAUCAAUUUUUUUUGAAAAUAAAAAUCAAUGAUGCAAA